UACGUAGGGUGCAAGCGUUGUCCGGAAUUAUUGGGCGUAAAGAGCUCGUAGGCGGUUUGUUGCGUCGGCUGUGAAAACCUGGGGCUCAACCCCGGGCCUGCAGCCGAUACGGGCAAGCUAGAAUUCGGUAGGGGAGACUGGAAUUCCAGGUGUAGCGGUGAAAUGCGCAGAUAUCAGGAGGAACACCGGUGGCGAAGGCGGGUCUCUGGGCCGAAAUUGACGCUGAGGAGCGAAAGCGUGGGGAGCAAACAGG
Molecule: ribosomal RNA, 253 nt
Filed under: uncultured bacterium
Lineage: Bacteria
Description: partial 16S ribosomal RNA
Rfam family: Bacterial small subunit ribosomal RNA
Source: RNAcentral